Molecule: ribosomal RNA, 441 nt
Filed under: uncultured bacterium
Lineage: Bacteria
Description: partial 16S ribosomal RNA
Rfam family: Bacterial small subunit ribosomal RNA
Source: RNAcentral
CUACGGGUGGCAGCAGUAGGGAAUAUUGCGCAAUGGGGGAAACCCUGACGCAGCGACGCCGCGUGAGUGAUGAAGGCUCUAGGGUUGUAAAGCUCUGUUCUGUGGGACUAAGUUCUGAAGGUACCACAGGAGAAAGGACCGGCUAACUUCGUGCCAGCAGCCGCGGUAAGACGAGGGGUCCAAGCGUUGUUCGGAAUCAUUGGGCGUAAAGCGGGUGCAGGCGGCUAAAUAAGUCAGAAGUGAAAGCCCAGGGCUCAACCCUGGAAGUGCUUUUGAUACUGUUUAGCUUGAGUGUGGUAGAGGUCAGUAGAAUUCCUGGUGUAGUGGUGAAAUACGUAGAUAUCAGGAGGAACACCGGUGGGGAAGCCGGCUGGCUGGGCCAACGCUGACGCUCAGACCCGAAAGCGUGGGGAGCAAACAGGAUUAGAUACCCGAGUAGUC